ACGUUAGCUACUUAUGUGUCCACAAAUCUGAUUGGCUUACUGCUUAUGGAAUGUCUCAUCUGUUCAUCAAUAUGAUUGGUUGUUGAACCUUUAUAAUUGUCAUCUUCUCUUUCAAAAUAUUGAAUAAGCACAGUUUGGGAUGUUGUUGAGAUGUUUUACUGAAAGAAAUUCGUAAGGUAUGUGUCGAUAUUACUAUUAUAUACCUUAUAUUUGUUCUCAUCAUUUGUUUAAUUGUUACCGGAAUAAUAUUUUUUUAAAGAAACGAUUGCUUGUGUGCAGUUUAGGCAUUUGCUAUUCAAAUAAUACAUUGGAUGAUGAUAAUAUUUUCUGCUAAUUUUUUAUUUUUGCUAGUAUGGAUACGUUCGAGUAAUAACUGUCUCUUAAUGUUCUAUUAUGGAAUCAAAUUAUUAGGCUCUUUAUAGUCUACCAAAUUAUUAGGCACUUUAUAGUCUCCCAAAUAAAAUGGAAGUGUUUUUCCAGAUCAUUUAUUUCAAUUGAAAUAACAAAUGUAAACUCGCAUAUUUACAACGAAUCAUUUUCUUUAAAACACCGUUGCAUGAAUCUGGUUAAAAUACGGAUUAUUAAAUAAUGAUUAUUAGUCGACUCUGCAGACUUUGCAGGCAAGAGGUUACCUUUAAAUUAUGUUCCUUUUGCACUUACUGGUACAUCAGAUUUGUAAGUGGACAAUGUCCACUUUCGCAAAGUCAAAUGUGUAUCUAUAUCUAUCUCUCGGUUAAUGUGCUUGGCCCAUCUGGGGCAUUGUCGCACAAUUGUGAACUAUGUACUAUUAGUUACACAGUAACUGACGGUGUAUGGGAUAUACACCCGGAGUAAUUUCAUACCAUACGACAGCGAAGCUCUCGUAUGGUAUGAAAUUACUAAGGGUGUAUAUUCCAUACACUUUCAGUUACUAACGGUGUAACGAUUAUAUCUUAACCGACUACUCGAUUACUCGGGUAGUAUGGAAAUUACUCGGUGUAUGGAAAAUACUCCAUGGGCACGUGACCGCUCUAAGCCAAUCGGAUUAGGUCAUUCUUGUAGGAGGAGAGAUACACGCUUAUCCUCUCUACUCCAUAACAGAGACGUAGAUAGCAAUUUAUGCGUAAAGCGUGCACCCCCAAAAUGGGGAAAAUAAAAUCUGGUGUAAAUUUCUUAUGCAAAGGAAUACCACAAUGAAAAUAUGGGGCUUAAUAAAUUAUAAUUGGCACUUUCAAAAAUAUAAGUUAUGAUAUGAUGCAAUGCACCCUUUUUUAGCUUUGGUCAUGCAAAAUAUGCAAGGUUUUUGCGGAAAAUCAAAACUACUGAAUGCAAAUACCUGAAAACAGAACAAAUUAAAACUUGGAUAAUUUCAUUAUUUAUAAAGGAUUAUCAAAAUGAAAAGAAGGGCAGCUUUAAAACUCAGUAUCACAAUGAAAAUAUGGGCAGACAUAAAAACCAAUCUGCACUUUAAAAUGAUACCACAUAUGAUGUGACCCACAGUUUAUAUUCGAUGUUUAAGUCGCUAAAACUAUGAAGAGUUUAAAUUGAAAAUCAAAUGCAUCGGCCAAAUGGGGUAAAUAAAAUCUGGUGUAAUUUUAUUAUCUAUCGGAAUAUCACUAUAAAAAGUGGGCAGUCAUUAAACCGAAUCAGUACUUUAAAAAAAUAUCAAAUUCAAUAAUAUCCAGAGCAUAUUUCCUUAGUAAACUUUGUCACAAGUUUACUGACAUUGCAGUAAAACGAAAGUUUUCCGAGAAUAGCGUAAAAAUGCAGCAAUGUUUGUAACUAUUCUUACCGUAUCAUCCGAUGAUGUCGAUGUUUUCUGAAUUGGUCUGGUGAAAACAUUACCAAGAAAUUGAAAUAUAACAUAUUCAGGCAAUGUCAACAUGGUACUCGCUCUAAAUUCGCUCUUAAGUUUGAAGCUUUUACCCGCUUCGCAAUCAAAAUGGCGUCGUUCAUAUUUUUCUUCAAGUCUCGCGAAAUCCCGAAACGUGUGAGAACUCGGCAGUGCGUUAUAUACUUUAAGAACCGACCUGCUUAUCUCUGUUAUCUACGUCUCUUUCCAUAAGAACUGCCUGAAAUAUUGUUAAGUAAAAUGUAGUUAUUUAAGUUGGUAAAAUUUCUGAUCUCUUUUUUCCCGCCAUCAGUUCAUGAUGGAUGCUAACACCAGGAUUUUCGAAUGUUUUGAUACGGUAGCCGGACUUGCACUUAGGUAAGUAUACGGUGAACUGCGCAAGGUAAAUAGAGAUGUUGUAUUCAUAUAGUAAUUUUGAAAAGAACACGUGGAACAAGAUAGCGUCUGUUGAUGUGACAAUGUAAUCUUUUAAAGAUUACCGGUACUUAACAUUGAUGAUCACAAUUUCUACAUUUGUCGAAUAUUGUUGUAUCGUGGUUAUAAUCGACUUUCAUACGAAAUCUUAUGUGGCAUUGUCAUGCAUGGAAUCAACACAUACAUAGAACCAAAUCGUGCGCAUGGAUAAUAAAAUGGUUAAACAGAGGUAAAGGUUUUACCUAUUCUAUUUUAUAUUUCGCACUUUUAAAAUUCCUUUCUUUGUCCAUAACAAAAUGUCUGCAAAAAUUCCGGUUUGCACGACUAUUUAAUUAAAUCUUAAAUGACACGCGACUAUUUUCCAUAAGAAGUCUCUUAAAUAAGUGAAACAAAUUGUUGGCGGAAACUAACUUUAAAAGAUUCCGGAAAUAUUGAAAUAUACAUCCGCAUUUAAGUAUCACAUUAAACGGCAAGAAUCGACCGGGCACAUUUAAUUGAUGUGAAAAAGUCAUGACAAAUAUUUCUACUUCCAUCUUUGCUACGACUCUAGUAAAAGCAGGGCACUUGUCAGUUACGAAUGUGUGAACUUGGUUGUAGUAGACCGACUAAGCAGGACUGGGGAAGAUACGAAAAGCCUUACCGACUGCCGUCAUUUUGACUACCCUUUUCAAGGACGCAAAUCCAACUAAUAACACAAAUACCAAUUUAUCUAUAAAAAAAUAAAUAAAUAAAUACUUAAUGUAAUAAAUUUACUAUUUUAAUAUUUAACAUAGCAAUGUUCCCGGAUGACACUCCACUUCCGAAGCUUCUUUAACGGUGUCCGGAUAAUGUCCACUUUCCAUAAGCGACAGCGCUGUUCAAAGAUGACUCGCCCUUUCUUCGAGAGUCGGCAACGAUCCCUCUGCCAGCCCGACCCACGCGCGGAGUAAGACGCCCUUUCGAAGUUACAACGACACGUCAUUUGAUAAAUCCCACCUUGAAAACGAAAGCGACCAUAACUGCGACGAAAGAGUACAUUUUUAUUAUUAAAUGGCAAAACGGAGAUACAAGUUAAAACACAUUCAUUCUAUUUACUAUUCCGUAUUGUAAUACGUAUUUACUGUUUCCAUUUCAUAUUGUGUAACGAAUGUCUCCGGAUCCUGAUCCCUGGCUAAAGAUUAUCCCCCCGUGAUCCAAAGAGUGUCGGCGAAAACAUUAGUUUCCAUCAAGGUUUUUUAACUGUCGUGUAUUCUUAAAUGACACGCUACUUUAUUGCGCACUAAGGCUUUGCGAAUAAUCACUUAAACAUCGCUCCGAAAAUACAUACUGUCAUUCAUCUCUGCAUUUAUGUAACUGAUGUCAUAAAAAAUAUUUCUACGUUUUACUUCCAUUGAUUUAACUUCCAUUCACCCCCCCCCCCCCCAUUUCAAUAUAUAAAAUUCAAGCAGAGCAAUUGUCAAUUACUGAUAUGUGCACUUGCUGCUCGUAGACACAGCUUGCCCGGGGAUGAUAAGUGUAGCAGAACUGGCCGCAGAAAUAUGAUUAUACUUUCGUUCAACAACGUUAAUCCAACAAACCAAUAAACAAGUAUCCAUUUAUGUACGUAACCAGUAAUAUUCGCAUUACUUAAAAUUUUGAAACAAAAAUAAUUUUGCUCAUAGAGGACAGCGUUCCCGGAUGAUGCUACCCUUUCCCGAAGUGACUUGAACGAUGCUGGAUAACGUCCACUUCCCCGAAGCGGCAGUGACGUCCUUACUUGACACUAGCCCCUUCACGUCGUGCGCAGUGACGACCACCCUUCCUGUCCGACGCCACUUGAAGUUGCACCCAGAUGCUUUCUGGAUUAUUCCAUCCCCUUUCUCCAAAUGGCACCUAACAUAGGUUUUCGGCGUUCUCUAUUUCCAAGGCGACACUGUUGGUUACUGAGGAGCACCAUUUAUGCAUGGUCUGGUAUGUAGUUACUUACAUAACAUAGUUACUGACAAAUGAAAGUGUACCAUGGGAAACAUGCGUGGUUAAACCGAGCUAUUACUUAAAUCUAUUUAUUCUUUUUAUACUUUGUACUUUAGAAAGUAUUGUUUUCAAAUUUCAUAUCGUUUGCCGUAUCCUGAGCCCAGAAUAGAUGGUGGCCACCCCGUGUGGUCCAUAACAGUGUUGGAGAAAAUGACAGCUUCCAUCAAGGUUUUUAAAUGUCCAUUAAAAACACGCGACUUUUCCCAUAGAAAACUGAGAAAAUCGUUUAUACAUUUAAUGUACAAUAAAUGCUUGAAAUGUAAGUUUUGGAUUAAAACUAAAAUUAAAACAAGUAUCGCCCGGCCAAAUGAUAACUCAUGAAAAAAUUUUCUACUUCCAAUUUCCCCCAAACCCGUUGCAACAACACUAAAUCAACGCAGUUGUCAGUUACCGAUAUGGGCACAUUGUACUUAUAGAGCAACUAAGCAAGCCCUGGAACGCUAUGAGUGAGUGACCUAACUGGCCGCUCUAAUUUUUAUAACAGUUCUGUUGAACUAAGUAAAUCCACAACCAACAAAUACCCAUAUAACUGCAUUUGCAGCCAUGAUCGAAUUUGUACUCACUUAUAAAAACUAUACAUUCGCGAUUUAUUUUCUGUUAAGUGCACAAAAUUGCAAAUAAAUUUAUGUUUAACACAGCAACGUUUCCCGGAUGAAGCUGUCCUUUCCAGAUGUUGCAGCAACGGUUCCCGGAUGACGCUGUCCUUUCCAGAUGUUGCAACAACGGUGCCCGGAUAACGUCUACUUCCCCGAAGCAUUAGCGGCGCCCAUAGAUGAAUCGCGCUUUUUCCAUAGCGGCAGCGACGUUCUCCAUUCCCGCCCGCCCGUCGCGCAAGUGAAGACGCCCCUUCUGAAGCUGCAUAUAUACGCCAAUGGAUUAUUCCACACACAUCCUCUUCCAAAAACGACAAGAGUCCAUAUCUAGACGACGAUGCCUAUUCAUAGAGACAGUGUUGGUCCCUAAAUAACACCAUUUGUGCAUUUUCUGUUGUAUUUUUUUCAAAUUCACGUAAAAGAUUUUUCUGCGCUGAAAAUCCCUAGCAAGUAACCGAUUGUUAUACAUCUUAUCGCUUUUGGGUUUUAUAAAGUUUGCAUUGACUCGAUCGGACGAUGCGACUUGGUGGUUCAGAUCUUUAAUAUAAAUCGCAUUAUUUAUUUACAAGGUUGUAGUUCUUGACCAAUAUUUACUUGUAUGUAUUGCGUGUAUCUUGGAAAAUGUCUUAUUAAUGUAUAACAGAAAGGUGCCCGGAUGACGCCUCCAUUACCCGAAGCUGCAUCAACGGUGCCUGGAUAGCGUCCACUUCCCGAAGCGACAACGAAGUCUUUAAAAUUACACACCCUUUUUUUACGUGCGACAGCGACGCCCCCACCGCGCCCGACCCUCGCGCGAAUGAAGACACGCCUAUCGAAGCUGCAAUUUACAGACGAACCAAAUCAUCACCAUACGGACGACCUGCGGUGACCUCCGAUGCAAUACCAAUCCACGUUUACUUCUUGGACCAUUCUACAGUGCACCAGGAGUGAAGUCCGAUCGAAUCCAUGUAUACUACAUGCAGUUUGUAGAGACUUCCAAAAUGAGCAUUUGGACUUCUUGAACGCAGCAAUCGUAGCUGCGACUAUUUCAUGCGACCGCAUUGAACUACAGAACAACACACGCGGCUUUAAGGUUACAUCCUUUUGGAACACAUGUAUUUGAGCACCCCUGGUAAGUAGGUGCAUAUCCAACUUCAAUCCAAGGUAAGUCGAUAUUUCACUUUCAAAACUGUUUUCGUCGGGACGCUCUACUUUACGGUGGCAUAAAGGUGACAUUCACUCUUUUUUUAAAUUGCACUCCUCUUUUUUUCUAUCUCGUGGCCACGAGUUAGCUAAAGUCGGGAUUUCGAGAUAGCUAUGUCGUGGCCACGAGAUAGAAAAAAAUGAGUGCAAAACUAAAUAAAAGAGGAGUGCAAUUAAAAAAACUGGCGCUGCUGGGACGUUUUCAUUGGCCGAUUAAUUUGAGGGAACAAGAUAGUAUUUGAUUGGCUGACUAACUCGUGGCCACGAGUAAGCCAAGUCGGGAUCUCGAGAUCUCGAACUUCUCUCCUCGUUUGUUUAAUGCACCCUUCCAUUAUUUACUCUACCGCCCUUUUUUUAAUUGCACUUCUCUUUUAUUUAGUUUUGCACUCUUUCUUUUUUCUAUCUCGUGGCCACGACAGCUAUCUCGAGAUCCCGACUUAGCUAACUCGUGGCCACGAGAUAGAAAAAAGAGGAGUGCAAUUUAAAAAAAGGAGUGAAUAUCACCUCUAUGCCACCGUACUACUUAUGGAUGUUGCUAAAAUAGUGAAAACAGAAUAAAUGUUUUGACAAAAUAAAUUUCGCUUUUAAUACUUGAUUGUUUCUUUUCUUUUGCCAACGUUUAUUAUUACAUAAAAAUUCCGUUUCAGCUAAGCAAUUUUUACAUUAAUUAAAGUGUCAUAUUUACAAACAAUUUUUUAUAAAUCCAUUUUUUCUUGCCGCAUUUUUUUCUUUUUCAGGGUGUGUUUCCGGUAGUGUGACGCGUCUUUUUGUGUUGAUUGGAAUGUACCCGUUCCCAACACCGCUGACCAGCACUGUCGCUAGGCAACGACUGCCAGGCAACAUUGCUGUCAGUACAUAGCCUCUCCACUACAAGCCCUAUGCAUUGCCGCCACGUGGCAACACACGGUAACUGGAUGCCAAUGGGAUCCAGGCUGAAAUGCAGGGGACUCGGAGGAGGUUUGGCCCCUAGAUGUGGUGCACUGGUCCGCAAUUGUGUGGAAAUAACCGGUCAAUCACAAACCGAACCCCCAGCUAUGGGCAAAUAGCAUUGUAUUUAUAUAAUUAGCGUUAUCAAGUCAUUUAAUCAGCCAUUCCGUCAGUAACAAACUGUUUAGGGCUCAGUAUCUCACGAGACUAUGACAGAUAUGAACAUGAAACUUCAUGAUGUAGAUAUUGAUGAGAUGUGCCAUGCACAAGAAACACAACCAUAGACUUUUACAAAAUAAAAGAGUAAUCAACCGUUGUUUUUGUAUGAUGUAACUUCAUGGCUAUAACUCGGAUAAGCUACAAGAUUCCAACAUUAAACUUUAUGGGACAAUUUUUCAAUGUAUCAAAUGUAUCAAUGUAGGGGCCACUUUAACGUACACUAUUAUAUCGAUAUCAAGGGAUUUCAUACCACUAUAAACUAAAUUAAUUUGGCUGGGAAUAUCAAACUAAUUUGCUUGUUUUAUGGGGUUACAUUUAAAACAUACAAGUUAGUUUUUCUUAAUAUGUAUUAUUUGCUUUUCUAAAACCUUUUUAUUUUAAGAUGUUCAGUCUUAUUUCAGAGCCUUUGCGUGAUUGCCGAACGCUUUCAGGCCCUUCAUCAAUGACAGGAUUUGUCAAGAUAACAAAAACCGUUCAACAGCCGCACUUAAAAUGGUUAUCCAUCCCACAACUUGGUGACGUCCGCAACUUCAUGGCGUCUACACAGCCCUAACAUGCCCCGCCACCGAUGCUGUCUUGUUUCGCUUUGAUUUAUGAUUGCAAUACAAAAACUCGUCGAAUAAAACAGAUUUAACUAAA
Long non-coding RNA from Dreissena polymorpha, 7797 nucleotides. RefSeq lists it as uncharacterized. The transcript has 3 exons. The record is from RefSeq and is a predicted model, not a curated record. Lineage: Eukaryota; Metazoa; Mollusca; Bivalvia; Myida; Dreissenidae.